GCCUGGCUGGCUCAGUUGGUAGAACAUGUGACUCUCAAUCUCAGGGUCGUGAGUUCAAGCCUCAUGUUGGGCG
Non-coding RNA from Leptonychotes weddellii (Weddell seal), 73 nucleotides. The record is from the annotation of a RefSeq genome assembly. Lineage: Eukaryota; Metazoa; Chordata; Mammalia; Carnivora; Phocidae.